Molecule: ribosomal RNA, 1229 nt
Filed under: uncultured bacterium
Lineage: Bacteria
Description: bacterial SSU rRNA
Rfam family: Bacterial small subunit ribosomal RNA
Source: RNAcentral
CCUUCGGGAAUGCGAUAGUGUGAACGGGUGAGGAACACGUGAGAAACCUGCCUUUCAUUCUGGGAUAACACCGGGAAACCGGUGCUAAUACCGGAUACUCCGUCUUGGCGGCAUCGCCGAGCCGGGAAAAAAUUUUGAUGAAAGAUGGUCUCGCGGCCUAUCAGCUAGUUGGUGAGGUAAUGGCUCACCAAGGCGACGACGGGUAGCCGGCCUGAGAGGGCGACCGGCCACACUGGGACUGAGACACGGCCCAGACUCCUACGGGAGGCAGCAGUAGGGAAUAUUGGGCAAUGGGCGCAAGCCUGACCCAGCGACGCCGCGUGAGGGAUGAAGGUCUUCGGAUUGUAAACCUCUUUCAGUAGGGAAGAAGCGAAAGUGACGGUACCUACAAAAGAAGCACCGGCUAACUAUGUGCCAGCAGCCGCGGUAAUACAUAGGGUGCAAGCGUUGUCCGGAAUUAUUGGGCGUAAAGAGCUCGUAGGUCGUUUGUUACGUCGGAUGUGAAAAUCUGAGGCUCAACCUCAGACCUGCAUUCGAUACGGGCAAACUAGAGUUUGGUAGGGGAGACUGGAAUUCCUGGUGUAGCGGUGGAAUGCGCAGAUAUCAGGAGGAACACCAACGGCGAAGGCAGGUCUCUGGGCCAACACUGACACUGAGGAGCGAAAGCGCGGGGAGCGAACAGGAUUAGAUACCCUGGUAGUCCGCGCCGUAAACGGUGGGCACUAGCUGUGGGUCCCUUCCACGGGAUCCGCGACGCAGCAAACGCAUUAAGUGCCCCGCCUGGGGAGUACGAUCGCAAGAUUAAAACUCAAAGGAAUUGACGGGGCCCCGCACAAGCAGCGGAGCAUGCGGCUUAAUUCGACGCAACGCGAAGAACCUUACCAAGGCUUGACAUAUAGCGAAAAGUGGCAGAGAUGUCAUGUCCGCAAGGGCGCUAUACAGGUGGUGCAUGGUUGUCGUCAGCUCGUGUCGUGAGAUGUUGGGUUAAGUCCCGCAACGAGCGCAACCCUCGUCCUGUGUUACCAGCAUUUAGUUGGGGACUCACAGGAGACUGCCGGGGUCAACUCGGAGGAAGGUGGGGAUGACGUCAAAUCAUCAUGCCCCUUAUGUCUUGGGCUGCACGCAUGCUACAUGGCUGGUACAAAGGGCUGCAUACCGUAAGGUGGAGCGAAUCCCAGAAAGCCAGUCUCAGUUCGGAUUGGGGUCUGCAACUCGACCCCAUGAAGUCG